GAUGAACGCUGGCGGCGUGCCUAAUACAUGCAAGUCGAGCUAACAGACGAGGAGCUUGCUCCUCUGACGUUAGCGGCGGACGGGUGAGUAACACGUGGAUAACCUACCUAUAAGACUGGGAUAACUUCGGGAAACCGGAGCUAAUACCGGAUAACAUGUUGAACCGCAUGGUUCAACAGUGAAAGACGGUCUUGCUGUCACUUAUAGAUGGAUCCGCGCCGCAUUAGCUAGUUGGUAAGGUAACGGCUUACCAAGGCAACGAUGCGUAGCCGACCUGAGAGGGUGAUCGGCCACACUGGAACUGAGACACGGUCCAGACUCCUACGGGAGGCAGCAGUAGGGAAUCUUCCGCAAUGGGCGAAAGCCUGACGGAGCAACGCCGCGUGAGUGAAGAAGGUCUUCGGAUCGUAAAACUCUGUUAUUAGGGAAGAACAAAUGUGUAAGUAACUAUGCACGUCUUGACGGUACCUAAUCAGAAAGCCACGGCUAACUACGUG
This 497-nucleotide ribosomal RNA is filed under the name uncultured bacterium. RNAcentral describes it as "partial 16S ribosomal RNA". It matches the Rfam family "Bacterial small subunit ribosomal RNA", at positions 28 to 507 of the family's 1533-position model. The record is from RNAcentral.